GACGAACGCUGGCGGCGUGCUUAACACAUGCAAGUCGAACGGAAAGGCCCUGCUUUUGUGGGGUGCUCGAGUGGCGAACGGGUGAGUAACACGUGAGUAACCUGCCCUUGACUUUGGGAUAACUUCAGGAAACUGGGGCUAAUACCGGAUAGGAGCUCCUGCUGCAUGGUGGGGGUUGGAAAGUUUCGGCGGUUGGGGAUGGACUCGCGGCUUGUCAGCUUGUUGGUGGGGUAGUGGCUUACCAAGGGUUUGACGGGUAGCCGGCCUGAGAGGGUGACCGGCCACAUUGGGACUGAGAUACGGCCCAGACUCCUACGGGAGGCAGCAGUGGGGAAUAUUGCACAAUGGGCGGAAGCCUGAUGCAGCAACGCCGCGUGCGGGAUGACGGCCUUCGGGUUGUAAACCGCUUUCGCCUGUGACGAAGCGUGAGUGACGGUAAUGGGUAAAGAAGCACCGGCUAACUACGUG
RNAcentral lists this ribosomal RNA (468 nucleotides) under uncultured bacterium. RNAcentral's name for it is "partial 16S ribosomal RNA". It matches the Rfam family "Bacterial small subunit ribosomal RNA", at positions 28 to 507 of the family's 1533-position model. The record is from RNAcentral.